ACUCCUACGGGAGGCAGCAGUGGGGAAUAUUGCACAAUGGGCGCAAGCCUGAUGCAGCCAUGCCGCGUGUGGUGAAGAAGGCCUUCGGGUUGUAAAGCACUUUCAGUCGUGAGGAAGGUAGUGUAGUUAAUAGCUCGAUUAUUUGACGUUAGCGACAGAAGAAGCAACCCGGGCAAGUUCCGCCAGCAGCCGCGGUAAUACGGAGGGUGCGAGCGUUAAUCGGAAUUACUGGGCGU
RNAcentral lists this ribosomal RNA (236 nucleotides) under uncultured bacterium. Its description in RNAcentral is "partial 16S ribosomal RNA". It matches the Rfam family "Bacterial small subunit ribosomal RNA", at positions 335 to 561 of the family's 1533-position model. The record is from RNAcentral.